AUGCAAGGCGAUCUGACUGUGAAAUCUGCCACUCCAUUGAUUGUCAGGGUGGACUUGACUGACCUGCCUGCAUUUUCCUAGAAAAUGUUUCCUUUCACCUUUAUAGUCUUCUGUCCAUCCCUUCAAAGCUUCAUACUGUGUGUAGGGAGACAGCCAUCCUCUGUAGAAAGAAAUAUUCUUUGGCCCAGGUAAUAUGAGUGGCUUUGCUCCCCUACUAGAAUCUUCCAACAAACUCACAUAUGUAGUGUGCUUCAAAGGAAAUAAAAAUGAGUCUCCUAGCUCUGAGGUUAUAACCUGACUUUAUAGGGUAAUUGUCCCCAUGUAACAACUCU
Molecule: small nuclear RNA, 332 nt
Filed under: Jaculus jaculus (lesser Egyptian jerboa)
Lineage: Eukaryota; Metazoa; Chordata; Mammalia; Rodentia; Dipodidae
Description: 7SK RNA (ENSJJAG00000002494.1)
Rfam family: 7SK RNA
About the family: 7SK was discovered as an abundant small nuclear RNA in the mid-70s but a possible function has only recently been suggested. Two independent studies have found that 7SK RNA binds the CDK9/cyclin T complex (known as elongation factor P-TEFb).
Source: Rfam by way of RNAcentral